Molecule: transfer RNA, 73 nt
Filed under: Methanobacteriota archaeon
Lineage: Archaea; Methanobacteriati; Methanobacteriota
Description: Euryarchaeota archaeon tRNA-Val
Rfam family: tRNA
About the family: Transfer RNA (tRNA) molecules are approximately 80 nucleotides in length.
Source: RNAcentral
GGGCCCGUAGUCGAGUGGUUAAGACGUCCGCCUUACAAGCGGAAGAUCCCAGGUUCAAAUCCUGGCGGGCCCA